This 22-nucleotide microRNA is filed under the name Dasypus novemcinctus (nine-banded armadillo). Its description in RNAcentral is "dno-miR-574-3p". Its record names the gene dno-miR-574-3p. RNAcentral also lists the same sequence under 18 other names. The record is from miRBase by way of RNAcentral. Lineage: Eukaryota; Metazoa; Chordata; Mammalia; Cingulata; Dasypodidae.
CACGCUCAUGCACACACCCACA